AUUGAACGCUGGCGGCAUGCCUUACACAUGCAAGUCGAACGGUAACAGGUCUUCGGACGCUGACGAGUGGCGAACGGGUGAGUAAUACAUCGGAACGUGCCCGAUCGUGGGGGAUAACGAGGCGAAAGCUUUGCUAAUACCGCAUACGAUCUACGGAUGAAGGCGGGGGAUCUUCGGACCUCGCGCGGACGGAGCGGCCGAUGGCAGAUUAGGUAGUUGGUGGGAUAAAAGCUUACCAAGCCGACGAUCUGUAGCUGGUCUGAGAGGAUGAUCAGCCCCACUGGGACUGAGACACGGCCCAGACUCCUACGGGAGGCAGCAGUGGGGAAUUUUGGACAAUGGGCGAAAGCCUGAUCCAGCCAUGCCGCGUGCAGGAUGAAGGCCUUCGGGUUGUAAACUGCUUUUGUACGGAACGAAAAGCCUCUUUCUAAUAAAGAGGGGUCAUGACGGUACCGUAAGAAUAAGCACCGGCUAACUACGUG
RNAcentral lists this ribosomal RNA (482 nucleotides) under uncultured bacterium. Its description in RNAcentral is "partial 16S ribosomal RNA". It matches the Rfam family "Bacterial small subunit ribosomal RNA", at positions 30 to 507 of the family's 1533-position model. The record is from RNAcentral.